UACGGAGGGUGCGAGCGUUGUCCGGAAUCACUGGGCGUAAAGGGCGCGUAGGCGGCGCGGGAAGUCAACGGUGAAAGCUUGGGGCUCAACUCCGAGUCGGCCGUCGAUACUCCCGUGCUCGAGCACUGUAGAGGCAGAUGGAAUUCCGGGUGUAGCGGUGGAAUGCGUAGAGAUCCGGAAGAACACCGGUGGCGAAGGCGGUCUGCUGGGCAGUUGCUGACGCUGAUGCGCGUCAGCGUGGGGAGCAAACAGG
This 253-nucleotide ribosomal RNA is filed under the name uncultured bacterium. RNAcentral's name for it is "partial 16S ribosomal RNA". It matches the Rfam family "Bacterial small subunit ribosomal RNA", at positions 524 to 776 of the family's 1533-position model. The record is from RNAcentral.